CCCAAGAAGUGCUUAUGGGCGAACUUGGUUUAGGAUCUGCCGGUACCGUAGUAGACUGGAAGCAAUUCCUACGCGACGUCUGCGCGGAUCACUUCCGCCAGAAUCCCGUCAUACUAGGCGGUAAUGGGCACAUCGUUGAAGUUGACGAGUCGGUAUUUGGCAGAAGGAAAUACAACCGAGGGCGGCGCCUUCAAACCCAAUGGGUACUGGGGGGAAUAGAUCGAGAAACACAUUCGACGUUCCUCGUUGCUACCUUCAUACAUGAAGGAGUGCAUGUGGAGGCUGCGGUAUGGGGGCCCGCACGCACUCCACCACAUUGUGGAGCAUAUACAGGACGCCUACUCGUUAUGAUUGUACGUUUUCGGUGAAACUCGGUUUAUGCGGGGGGCAUCCUACACGUCUCAGAUGGUGUUGGGACCUAAAAAUCUUUUGGUUUAACGCAAGAUUCGGUUUUGAGCGCGUUUGGGAUUCAGAAUGUUGGCUGUAAUAUUAUGUACUGUCCAGCGUUAUAUGAGGUUAUCAUUGAACAUAAAAUGUAUGAAGCAUAUUUUUAAACAAAAAACUAGCAUGACUACGUUAAAGAAGUGUGAAGUAUGUGCAAGCGAUGUGUUGUUAUUAUUGGUGACGUAUUAGUAUCGAUAACAUGUUUUAGUAAUAAAAGGCAUGUACAGCUAGUUCAAAAAA
Long non-coding RNA from Priapulus caudatus, 684 nucleotides. RefSeq lists it as uncharacterized. The record is from RefSeq and is a predicted model, not a curated record. The transcript has 2 exons. NCBI's taxonomy places the organism in Eukaryota, Metazoa, Priapulida, Priapulimorpha, Priapulimorphida, Priapulidae.